Molecule: ribosomal RNA, 774 nt
Filed under: uncultured Neocallimastigales
Lineage: Eukaryota; Fungi; Neocallimastigomycota; Neocallimastigomycetes; Neocallimastigales
Description: partial large subunit ribosomal RNA
Rfam family: Eukaryotic large subunit ribosomal RNA
Source: RNAcentral
AGAGAGAGACAUGCGCGCAUAUCAAUAAGCGGAGGAAAAGAAACUAACAAGGAUUCCCCUAGUAACGGCGAGUGAAGCGGGAAGAGCUCAAAUUUGAAAUCUUAAAGGGUUUCCCUUUACGAAUUGUAGUUUAAAGAAGUGUUUUCUGUUGAGGUUUUGGUAAAAGUUCUUUGGAAUAGGACAUCAUAGAGGGUGAGAAUCCCGUAUUUGACCUUUACUUUCAACUUUGUGAUACACUUUCAAAGAGUCGGAUUGUUUGGGAAUGCAGUCCAAAAUGGGUGGUAAAUUUCAUCUAAAGCUAAAUAUUGGCGAGAGACCGAUAGCGAACAAGUACCGUGAGGGAAAGAUGAAAAGAACUUUGAAAAGAGAGUUAAACAGUACGUGAAAUUGUCAAAAGGGAAGUGUUUGACACCAGUGUUGUUUUUCUGAAAAUCAAUUAAAGAACUGUUUAUGCUAAGCUGUUUAGACUUUAUCAGCUAUCUGUUUAGUUUUGAGCUUUUCUUUAAUGCACUUUUCAGUUAACAAGUCAACAUCAAUUUCUUUUGCUGUAAAAAAGCUUGAGGAAGGUGGCUUGAGAUUCGUCUUAAGUGUUUAUAGCCUCUUGCCUAUGCAGUCGGAGAGAUUGAGGUCUGCAGCGUAGAUCCUUCGGGGCUAAAUGCAUUUGUGCUAAGUUAUAGCAUUUUAUAGACAACUUGUUGACUAUGAUUUGUCUUGUAGCUUACUCGCUUAUGUUAUUUUACCUACGCUUAGGAUGUUGACGCAUGAGAUAUACGC